ACGUAGGAGGCGAGCGUUAUCCGGAUUUACUGGGUGUAAAGCGCGUGCAGGCGGUUCUGCAAGUGGGACGUGAAAGCGCCCGGCUCAACCGGGCGAGGACGUACCGAACUGCGGGACUAGAGGCAGGGAGAGGCGUGUGGAAUUCCGGGUGUAGUGGUGAAAUGCGUAGAGAUCCGGAGGAACACCAGUGGCGAAGGCGACACGCUGGGCCUGGCCUGACGCUCAGACGCGAAAGCAUGGGGAGCGAACGG
Molecule: ribosomal RNA, 251 nt
Filed under: uncultured prokaryote
Description: partial 16S ribosomal RNA
Rfam family: Bacterial small subunit ribosomal RNA
Source: RNAcentral